CCCUUAGAUGUUCUGGGCCGCACGCGCGCUACACUGAUGCAUUAAACGAGUCUAAAACCUGGUCUGAUAGGGCUGGGUAAUCUUUUGAAUGUGCAUCGUGAUUGGGAUAGAUGAUUGCAAUUCUUCAUCUUCAACGAGGAAUGCCUAGUAAACGCAAGUCAUCAGCUUGCAUUGAUUACGUCCCUGCCCUUUGUACACACCGCCCGUCGCUCCUACCGAUUGAAUGUUCCGAUGAAUACCAUGGACUGAGAGUAUGAAUGGGUUCGCCUAUUUCUGCUUCUCGGGAAGUGGAGUAAAUCUUAACAUUUAGAGGAAGGAGAAGUCGUAACA
RNAcentral lists this ribosomal RNA (330 nucleotides) under uncultured eukaryote. RNAcentral describes it as "partial 18S ribosomal RNA". It matches the Rfam family "Eukaryotic small subunit ribosomal RNA", at positions 1470 to 1796 of the family's 1831-position model. The record is from RNAcentral.